This 721-nucleotide long non-coding RNA is filed under the name Lathyrus oleraceus (garden pea). RNAcentral describes it as "Pisum sativum (pea) long non-coding RNA (PSAT_LNC023501)". The record is from RNAcentral. Lineage: Eukaryota; Viridiplantae; Streptophyta; Magnoliopsida; Fabales; Fabaceae.
AGAAUGUCAGGUCGUAGAAGAUACAACUGAUCUUAUAUUGAUAUUGAUCUUUUACGAAUGGAUCCCGGUUGUUCUAGUAGGUGCGUACUUUUUGUUUUUUUUAUUGUUCUUGUUCCUUUCAUUUUUAUUAUCGGGUGUCUUGAACAGUUCACACUCCUUCAAUGGAAGAAGAAGGCGAUGCAGCGCGCUUAGCUACUGCCUAUAAGCAACCAUAAGCUUUGACUUAGAUAAUUUUAAGCUCGAAGUAAUAUCUUUUCGGGAAGGGGAUCGAGCAGCUUCUAGAAACUAUACGAGAAAGCAAAGUGAAAUCUCUACUAUUACUUGGAAACCACUUUCUAUAAGAUUUAUCUUCUCUUCUUUAAUAAGGCAGAUUUCCGCAUCUAUCCUAGCAGCAACAGAAAGGAAGUGAAGAAAGAAAAACUGACUGGACCAUCGGGAAAGGGUGAUCGAUCAUAAGGAAGGCCUACNGCGGAUAACCUUCUCUUUAUGGGGGAGUCUUUCAGGAUCGAUUCAAAGGGCCAGUGAAAGUACGCGGACGGAGAAAUCCAACAAAACCACACCGUACCGGGCCAGUAGACCUUCUUUAUCUUAAAGGUUGUCUCCUGCCCCCAACUAGCGAGCGGCUAUAACCGAUGGGCGCAUGGAGACCACUACUCUACCCGAAAACUCGGGUUAAGUGGGGAACCUUCUCAUCGUGUUAAGCUUGCGAGCCUGUCUGUAA